RNAcentral lists this ribosomal RNA (497 nucleotides) under uncultured bacterium. Its description in RNAcentral is "partial 16S ribosomal RNA". It matches the Rfam family "Bacterial small subunit ribosomal RNA", at positions 28 to 507 of the family's 1533-position model. The record is from RNAcentral.
GAUGAACGCUGGCGGCGUGCCUAAUACAUGCAAGUCGAGCGAACGGACGAGAAGCUUGCUUUUCUGAUGUUAGCGGCGGACGGGUGAGUAACACGUGGAUAACCUACCUAUAAGACUGGGAUAACUUCGGGAAACCGGAGCUAAUACCGGAUAAUAUUUUGAACCGCAUGGUUCAAAAGUGAAAGACGGUCUUGCUGUCACUUAUAGAUGGAUCCGCGCUGCAUUAGCUAGUUGGUAAGGUAACGGCUUGCCGAGGCAACGAUGCAUAGCCGACCUGAGAGGGUGAUCGGCCACACUGGAACUGAGACACGGUCCAGACUCCUACGGGAGGCAGCAGUAGGGAAUCUUCCGCAAUGGGCGAAAGCCUGACGGAGCAACGCCGCGUGAGUGAUGAAGGUCUUCGGAUCGUAAAACUCUGUUAUUAGGGAAGAACAUAUGUGUAAGUAACUGUGCACAUCUUGACGGUACCUAAUCAGAAAGCCACGGCUAACUACGUG